Oryzias latipes (Japanese medaka) is the source of this 1093-nucleotide long non-coding RNA. RefSeq lists it as uncharacterized. The record is from RefSeq and is a predicted model, not a curated record. Lineage: Eukaryota; Metazoa; Chordata; Actinopteri; Beloniformes; Adrianichthyidae.
GCAGCACUCAGACCGACGGAGCUCAGUCUUCUGUGCGCCUUUGGGGACCCAAACAGAGACAGGAGGGGAGAAGACCGGCUCUCAGAGCAUCCCACAGUUGGGUUCCACCUUUCCUGACAGAAGGACUUGAACCUCUGAACCCAGCAGGAGAUCCUUGUCCACUAGCUGGUUCCUGGAAGGGUCUUCUUCAACUUGUCUGCCAUGGAGUCACUUUGGAGGCUCCUAACCUGCUCAUUCUAGGGAGACAGCAUGGCGGACAUGCUAGUUAACAAUUGAAAAAGAAAAACAAGAAGAAGCCCCCCCUUGCUUGUCAAGUGUGAACACACGGGCUAAAUGAGUGUUCAGGAGGUGACGUGCAUUCACACAUCCCCGGUGAGUCUGUAACUUGAUGGCGCCACCAGCUUGACCUCGUCAGCAGUGUCCAUGUGAUGCAGUUGACAUUCUACCCCUUGGUGGGGCUUUGUUUGACAGACAGACCAGCAAAAGCCAGGGAACCGGAAACGUCUGUCCUAUGACACACAAGUUUGUGUGUUUGUUCCACAUGUUAGACAAUCUUUAUUGAAAAACAAACAACUUUACAUUUAUGUUCAUGUCAUUUCAUGUAAUGGUACAUUUGUAAAGAUAAACAAUUCAACUGAAACUGAUAUUCUUGCAGUUUGUCAAGUCCCUGCUUUGCUGCAUCUGUGAGGAAAUCAACCAGUACUAUAAAAGACUGUUAUCACACCAGUGAUGGCCACAGAGCAGAUAUAUAUCCCCAGGCAGAAUGGUAUAACACUGCAGGGAAUAUUAAUAUUAUAGAAAUAUAACAAAAUAUUUGUGGAGAUAAUAUGUCUGAUAUUAAGAAGCUAAACUAUUUUCCAGUGCCUCAUAUUAACAAUUGAAAAUUUGAUGCAUUCCAGAAAGUCCUGCUCUACAGCUGAUUUACAUAGAAAUUGCCUUAUUUUGGACUAAAUAAGAAGCUCUUUCAUUGACUUAUCACACUGCAUUUUCCAAGGUCCAUGAAAGGAUAUUGCUUGAGUGCUCUGUACGUGCACUGUGCAUGUGGCUUCAUUUUUAGCAUUAAGAUUAGGCCUUCCCAUUUAAUAAACUGGAA